GUGAAGGCUGAACCACAAGGCUUAGGAGACAAACUUGUCGAUUUUUAUAACACUGGGGCCAUGUGUGAAUGUGUGUGUGUUAGUUUUCUUGUCUCUAGGACACAACAUUCAGCACAACUUGAAGGAGCAGAGGCUGAGUCUGGCUCGUGGUUUUGGGUGAUUCAGUCCACGGUUGGCUGGCUCCAAGGCAGAAAGAGCAUGGCAGGAGCACACAGUGGAAAAAACUGGGACUGCGAUUCCCCACCAUUGGAAAAAUAGAUGAAAAAUGAGACCGGGUGCCUGCAGGCUGCCACCCUGGGGAAGCCAUGCGGAGGAUGACCCUGUGGAUCCGUGCAGUGCCGGCCAGCCCGGCUCCGGUCAGUGGGGAGGGGCAAGGACCCACAGUGGGGAUCCCUCUCUGGGCCCACUCCUGGGGAGCUCCUGGAUGUCCCAGUGAACAAGACCCACCUCCGCCUGCCGCUUGCCAGUCCCUGCCACAGCCUGCCAUGUGCUGACCCUCUACUUAGAGGGGGCUCGAGUCAGUCCAGGUGUCAUGAAGGUUUAAACGCCAGCGUGCUCUGGCUGGUUCUUCCCGGAAUUCCAGCCCCUCUGCAAGGGGGUGGCUCGGUGCCAUUUAUACCUGUGAGACAGUGCCACUUUCAAAACCACCUGGAUUCUGUCUUCACACUGGCUUUCUAGGAAGUGCAAAUUUUCAAAUUUUUCUAAGGAACCCUUCUUUUGGGGGCAGGAGACAGGGCCUCACUGUGUAUGUAGCCUGGGUUGAACUUGAGCUCUCGGUGAUCCUCCUGCCUCAGCCUCCUGAGUGCCAGGAUCACAGGCAUUUGCAACUGGACCCAGCCUAUCUCUCCCUUUUUUCAAAUAACUGGACUCAGCUGUGCCUGUCUCCCCCUUGUGGGGACCUCAGGAUCUUGUAAGGUCCGCGACACGUAAUUGCUCUGUUUGUGCUGGCGAGAGGGUGUUGUAAAUGGCCGAGUGGCAGACGUGACAGUUCCAUUAGACCCGAGCUCAUCCUGGUCGACCUUUGGAAAGUGAAUUCAGGGAGGUCAGCAUGUCUGCUACACUUCAUGUUUGCAGUUUGGGGCGAGGCUGGGCAAGAAAUACUGAGGUCUCUAUGCCAGGGCUGCUGCUACAGCUCCCCCGCUCUCACCUCCUCCCGCCGGGCAUCUCCCCAGCUCAAGACGGAAGGGAAGGCAGUGGCCCAGGAUCCGUGGGCUUGGGCCACUACGGCCUCAUCAGCUGCUCCAUCAAGGUGACAGUGUCAUUUCUAACAUCCACCUGCAGACCCUGGGCUGUUUCUAGGUCCUGAGUUAGCCAGCCUGCUCUGGGGGAAUCACAGGAAGUUUCCGGCCUGGUUCUCAGGCUCUUCACCAUUUCUAGAAUCCUGGGCUGCAGAAAUGGUGUCUGUUGAGAGCAAGUCUACAUCAUUUUGGGGAAAAAUCAUUUCACAAUUAAGUUGUGAUUAGGCCUAGUUCUCCCGCCCACAGCCCGGCUAUGGCAUGUCGAGACAUAAAGCCGUUUUUGCUUCCGGUCACAGCUAAGACCUCAAUGGUCCCAUGAUGCUGUGAAGCUCCAGGGAAGGAUUGCAUGGCUGAAGACGUC
Molecule: long non-coding RNA, 1599 nt
Filed under: Heterocephalus glaber (naked mole-rat)
Lineage: Eukaryota; Metazoa; Chordata; Mammalia; Rodentia; Bathyergidae
Description: lncRNA (ENSHGLG00100051286.1)
Source: RNAcentral